GAUGAACGCUGGCGGCGUGCCUAAUACAUGCAAGUCGAGCGAACAGACGAGGAGCUUGCUCCUCUGACGUUAGCGGCGGACGGGUGAGUAACACGUGGAUAACCUACCUAUAAGACUGGGAUAACUUCGGGAAACCGGAGCUAAUACCGGAUAAUAUAUUGAACCGCAUGGUUCAAUAGUGAAAGACGGUUUUGCUGUCACUUAUAGAUGGAUCCGCGCCGCAUUAGCUAGUUGGUAAGGUAACGGCUUACCAAGGCAACGAUGCGUAGCAGACCUGAGAGGGUGAUCGGCCACACUGGAACUGAGACACGGUCCAGACUCCUACGGGAGGCAGCAGUAGGGAAUCUUCCGCAAUGGGCGAAAGCCUGACGGAGCAACGCCGCGUGAGUGAUGAAGGUCUUCGGAUCGUAAAACUCUGUUAUUAGGGAAGAAAAAAUGUGUAAGUAACUAUGCACGUCUUGACGGUACCUAAUCAGAAAGCCCCGGCUAACUACGUG
RNAcentral lists this ribosomal RNA (497 nucleotides) under uncultured bacterium. RNAcentral describes it as "partial 16S ribosomal RNA". It matches the Rfam family "Bacterial small subunit ribosomal RNA", at positions 28 to 507 of the family's 1533-position model. The record is from RNAcentral.